RNAcentral lists this ribosomal RNA (417 nucleotides) under uncultured bacterium. Its description in RNAcentral is "bacterial SSU rRNA". It matches the Rfam family "Bacterial small subunit ribosomal RNA", at positions 362 to 777 of the family's 1533-position model. The record is from RNAcentral.
UAUUGGUCAAUGGGCGAGAGCCUGAACCCGCCAAGUCGCGUGUGAGAUGACUGCCCUAUGGGGUGUAAACCUCUUUUGUAUGGGGGGAAUAGGCUUUACGAGUAGAGUGAUGACAGUACCAUACGAAUAAGCAUCGGCUAACGCCGUGCCAGCAUCCGCGGUAAUACGGAGGAUGCGAGCGUUAUCCGGAUUUAUUGGGUUUAAAGGGUGCGUAGGCGGCAUUAUAAGUUAGUGGUAAAAUAUUGGGGCUUCACCUCACUACGCCAUUAAUAAUGUAGAGCUAGAGAACAGACGAGGUAGGCGGAAUAAGUUAAGUAGCGGUGAAAUGCAUAGAUAUAACUUAGAACACCGAUAGCGAAGGCAGCUUACCAGACUGAGUCUGACGCUGAUGCACGAGAGCAUGGGUAGCGAACAGGA